AACGAACGUUAGCGGCGCGCCUAACACAUGCAAGUCGAGCGAGAAAGGGAGCAAUCCCCGGUACAGCGGCGCACGGGUGAGUAACACGUAGGUAAUCUGCCUCCGAGUGGGGGAUAACCU
This 120-nucleotide ribosomal RNA is filed under the name uncultured bacterium. RNAcentral describes it as "partial 16S ribosomal RNA". It matches the Rfam family "Bacterial small subunit ribosomal RNA", at positions 29 to 149 of the family's 1533-position model. The record is from RNAcentral.